UGGCGGCUNGCUAAUGNAUNGCAAGUCCGCACGCACCUUUCAGGGGUGAGUNGGCGCACGGCUGAGGAACACGUGGGAAUCUNGCCCAUCUGUGGGGGAUAACCCGGAGAAAUCCGAGCUAAUCCCGCAUACGCUUCGCAAGAAGGAAAGCGGCAACGCGCAGACGGAGGAGCCCGCGGCCCAUCAGGUCGUUGGUGGGGUAACGGCCUACCAAGCCAAUGACGGGUAGCUGGUCUGAGAGGACAGACAGCCAGACUGGGACUGAGAACGGCCCAGACUCCUACGGGAGGCAGCAGCAAGGAAUUUUCGUCAAUGGGCGCAAGCCUGAACGAGCAACGCCGCGUGUGGGAUGACGGCCUUCGGGUUGUAAACCACUUUUUAGGGGGACGAUGAUGACGGUACCCCUGGAAUAAGCCCCGGCUAACUCUGUGCCAGCAGCCGCGGUAAUACAGAGGGGGCAAGCGUUGUCCGGAAUUACUGGGCGUAAAGCGUACGCAGGUGGCCGCUCAAGUGUGAUGUGAAAGCCCCGCGCUUAACGCGGGGAGGCCAUUACAGACUGGGUAGCUCGAGGGAUGUAGAGGGUCGUGGAAUUGCCGGUGUAGUGGUGAAAUGCGUAGAGAUCGGCAGGAACACCAAGGACGAAGGUAGCGACCUGGGCAUUGCCUGACACUCAUGUACGACAGCGUGGGGAGCGAACCGGAUUAGAUACCCGGGUAGUCCACGCCGUAAACGAUGGAUGCUCGGCGUGUGGCGGCUAUCAACGCCGCUGGGCGCCUCAGCUGACGCGGAAGCAUCCCGCCUGGGAACUACGAGCGCAAGCUAAAACUCAAAGAAUAC
Molecule: ribosomal RNA, 837 nt
Filed under: uncultured bacterium
Lineage: Bacteria
Description: bacterial SSU rRNA
Rfam family: Bacterial small subunit ribosomal RNA
Source: RNAcentral